RNAcentral lists this ribosomal RNA (593 nucleotides) under Rhipicephalus sanguineus (brown dog tick). RNAcentral describes it as "bacterial SSU rRNA". The stretch from base 1 to 400 matches the Rfam family "Eukaryotic small subunit ribosomal RNA", at positions 1187 to 1611 of the family's 1831-position model. The record is from RNAcentral. Lineage: Eukaryota; Metazoa; Arthropoda; Arachnida; Ixodida; Ixodidae.
AGGAUAAUUGGACUAAACAGGGGCAAACUUACCCGGCCCGCACACUGGGGGGAUAGACAGAUUGGUGCUGUUUGUUGAUUCGGUGGGUGGGGGGGCAUGGCCGUUCUAAGUUGGUGGAGCGAUUUGUUUGGUUAAAUCUGAUAGCGAACGGGACUCUAGCUUAUUAAAUAGGUGUGAGGUUCCCAGCACCUUACAACCUUGUUAGAGGGACAAGCGGCUCCUAGCCGCACCAAACAGAGCAAUAACAGGUCUGUGAUGCCCUUAUUUGUCCGGGGCCGCACGCCCGUUACACUGAGGGAGGCAGAGUGUCUUUAUCUCGUGUGAAAAGAGUGGGUUUAGAAGAGUAACUUCUUUAAUGAUUGGGAGAAGGGCUCGCCCUUUUUCCCUUUCAACGUGGAAUCUGCCGGAAGUAAGAGCCUGGUGGCUCAAAACAUUAGGUGCAACCCGGAGGUUCAUGCCAGCAGUCGUAAUAUGGGUGAUCAUGCCAGAAGUCAUAAUAUCGUUCAUCCUCCCAGCAGUCGGAACAGGUGGUCCGGCCUUAACAACUAAUAACGUGGAUCAUGCCUAUAACUAAUAACUCGGUGUCUUGUACG